AGGGCUUUUAGCCCUAGUGGCGGACGGGUGAGUAACACGUGAGAAUCUGCCCUUAGGAGGAGGAUAACAGCUGGAAACGGUUGCUAAUACUCCAUAUGCCGAGAGGUGAAAGGAAUUUCUGCCUAAGGAGGAGCUCGCGUCUGAUUAGCUAGUUGGUAGGGUAAAGGCCUACCAAGGCGACGAUCAGUAGCUGGUUUGAGAGGAUGAUCAGCCACACUGGGACUGAGACACGGCCCAGACUCC
RNAcentral lists this ribosomal RNA (243 nucleotides) under uncultured bacterium. Its description in RNAcentral is "partial 16S ribosomal RNA". It matches the Rfam family "Bacterial small subunit ribosomal RNA", at positions 69 to 339 of the family's 1533-position model. The record is from RNAcentral.